Xenopus laevis (African clawed frog) is the source of this 212-nucleotide long non-coding RNA. RefSeq lists it as uncharacterized. Lineage: Eukaryota; Metazoa; Chordata; Amphibia; Anura; Pipidae. The record is from RefSeq and is a predicted model, not a curated record. The transcript is spliced from 2 exons.
AGAAGGAGAAAGAAGGAGAAAAAUUCGGAGUACUGGUCUCGCUCGCAUUAAUGCAGCUCCCGCGUGUGCAGGUGAUGAUGCGCUGGAAGAGGAGCGGGCGCCAUCUUGGCUGCUGCGUUUUUGAGAGGCCUUCGGCUGGGACCCGUAGAAGUCCGUGAGCUGCAGCGGUUGCUGCUUAGUUCUCCUCCUGGACAUUGUAGGAAUGGCCGUCG